RNAcentral lists this ribosomal RNA (375 nucleotides) under uncultured eukaryote. Its description in RNAcentral is "SSU rRNA". It matches the Rfam family "Eukaryotic small subunit ribosomal RNA", at positions 587 to 972 of the family's 1831-position model. The record is from RNAcentral.
AGCUCCAAUAGCGUAUAUUAAAGUUGUUGCAGUUAAAAAGCUCGUAGUUGGAUUUGUGGCAAUGCCCGUGGUCCAAUUUUUUGGUACUAUCGGGUGUAGCCAUCUUUGGGUGGAACCUGCGUGGCAUUAGGUUGUCGCGCAGAGGAUGCCCAUCGUUUACUGUGAAAAAAUUAGAGUGUUCAACGCAAGCGAUUGCUUUUGAAUAUUUCAGCAUGGAAUAAUAAGAUAAGACCUUGGUACUAUUUUGUUGGUUUGCGCACCGAGGUAAUGAUUAAUAGGGACAGUUGGGGGUAUUCGUAUUCCAUUGUCAGAGGUGAAAUUCUUGGAUUUCUGGAAGACGAACUACUGCGAAAGCAUUUACCAAGGAUGUUUUCA